UGGUUAAGGGAGGUGGGCAAGGCAAACCUCCCCUUUCUUGGCAUCCAUCUUGAAGCCAAGCCUCUCUCACCUCCAAACAAGCUGCAAAAUCCAACAGCAGUUUUUUCUUUCUCACGCAGGCAAACUGCAAGUUGUUUGUGCUUUUUGCACCUGGCAGCUAAACUCAGGCUGCUAUUGAAGAGUCCCUUCCAAGAGCUCGUAAACCUUGUAGCCAAAACAUUCUCUGGUUUUGUUUCGCUUUCCCAGGCUUACACUCAGAGUCCAGCCCCUUGCCAGUAACUUUCCAGGACCGUUGCCUAGCAACAAUGCAUUUCAAUAAGACAUCUUAUCUACCACAAAAAUUUGUGGAAUGCAGGCUUCAGCCUACAAGCUGCAGGCCUCUUCCUCUCGGAGCUCUUGUUUUCUUUGAAACGCAGCUCCGUGAACCAGGGAAUUAAUCUUCCUGCGUUCACACUUUUAGCCCGAAAUGCAGCAUACCUUGAGCUCCGUUGCUUGGGAAAACACCUCUUCUUUCCACCAGCUGUCUGUGGAGCCUCUGGCUUCUUUCAGACGCUUCUCUUCCUCCUUGGAGCAGAGGAGGACAAUCCACCAGCCUCUCAUGCAGAUGUCCGAUGAAUCGCAACCAUCCGAAGGCUGCCACUGUUGGAAUUCUGCCUGGGUCAGAGGAAUGUGCCACAGCGUAGGCACCGGCAGAUAUUCCUGUCGACCUCCCCGCGUCUCCACUCUGCUGAUAAGCAGGCGAGGUCCGGCGAUUCUUCUCAGAUGUAUGAGAGGAACACACCGUUCUUCCUCUCUCCCCUUUGGUGUCCCCAGGGAGGGGAAAGAAGCAGACAGAAAACUAUUUACAUCAUUUAUUUCUGCCUCUUACAUCAGUACAGAGAAUCAUGUCUGCACUCAACAACAGCAAGAAGAAGACUCCUCCCAAGUACAUCCAGUACGGGUCAUAAGACACACACACACUGAGCUAACAUCCGGUGCUCAGUACAGAAUGGACUGCCCCUUUGUUCCCAUGGCAACAGUCACAAACAUCCUGUCUGGCUUUCCAGCCACAAGCAGCUGGCUGAGCUGCUAGAGCCUUUGCUUGCUGCAGCAUUGGUGCUUUAUGGUAACAUAUUCAACACCUACUUAAUAAGGCCAAAACUCUGUCAUAUGCGCUCCUCCGAUUUUUCUUUUCGGAUGGAGCUUUGCA
RNAcentral lists this long non-coding RNA (1189 nucleotides) under Podarcis lilfordi (Lilford's wall lizard). The record is from RNAcentral. Lineage: Eukaryota; Metazoa; Chordata; Lepidosauria; Squamata; Lacertidae.